GCUUGAUCGACUGUUUGCGACCCUGAUGCAUCUGAUACAUUGCCUGUGGCCUCACGAUAAAGGGCUACCUCGUAUUCUAGCCUUCCAGGAGUUUCUUCAACUACUCCGGACACUCUUGCUCCGUGUGGACUAAAAGAAAUUAAAGUUAUUGGAUAAAACGUGGCUUUACUGAAAAACAACUUACAAGGUUCCAGCGAAUCCAGCGGCUUUGUGUCGAAGUAACGUGGGCUCAGGUGGUCGACACAUCAAAAUCAACUCUUGAUCAGCUAACAUUACAACACCAGGAAAAGCCGGAAACCAUAUUCGCAGGUGAAUAAAACCCUAAUAAUAAUAAUUUAUCAUGCGUUUAAUAAACUUAAAUUUAUGUCUUUUUUCUUAACAAUUAUCAAAUAAUACUCUUCUCUGAAAGACUUGAAUUUUAAUUAUUUAAGAUUCAUUAUCAUUAAAAUAUUAAGAUUAUGAUUAAAAUACUUAAAUUCAAUCAAAAAAAUUACAAAUUAAAGAUAUAUAAAAUAUAAUUACAAUUCUAUCUGUUUUUAAUUUUUGUAACACGAUCAUAAACAUCGCGUGACUCUUAUUAAUUUAACGAUCAUGUGAUCAUCGAGAAAACCAGAUGAUAAUUACAAUUAUGUAACAAGUUGUUACACGAAAGCGAUUAUGUAUUAGCUGAUCGGUUUCAUUUAUCGAUGCACGAUGCAGAACGAGGAGAAAAGCGCAGUGAAGGCGGGAAACGAAAAUUUCGAUCGAUGACUCACAUUCCUCUUCAGGAUGCCGCAUCUCGAGAAGUCAGUCACCUUCAGGAAGUAGUUAUCUUCCUGAGGAUCGUUGGGAUCUGGCCUGAUCUGGCAGUGAAUGUCGGAGAUCGGCGGCUGAUCCUGCGCCGCUGCACUGAAUGUCAGAGACCUCGUAAUCCUGGGCAACGGUGGCGGCAAUCUGAAACAAUACCACUGUCAUUCAUCUACCCAGUUUUGCUCGAGCGAUAUUCGCGACGUUCUGGUAUGUAAUUCAUUUUGUUUUUAUGUAUUGCUCUUUUUUCUAAUUGAAAUAUAAUAAUAGGCAGUUUGUUAAGAAAAAACUUGAAUAUUAUUAUAAUAUAAGUAAUAUUGUUAUUGUUGGAGAAUAAUAUUUUUGAAAAUAAAAAAAUCAAAUUAAUUUGUAUCUCAAUUAAAAAUAAUCAAUCUCUCAUAAUGCCUUUGAAUGAAUUUUUUCCAUAUUAAAUGGUAUAAUUAUUAUUAAUUUUAUUAUAAAAAUAAUGAUCUAUAUAUAGAUAUAUUUCAGUUAAAAUUCGUAAUGACUUUACAAAACAUUAAAAUUAGAUUAUAAGACAAAUUUAAAAUGGAUGGCAAAUUUAAUUAAAAUUAAAAUAUUUUUAAAAAUAUUUUUUAUUUGCAUACAUGUUUUUUGCCAUACAAUAUGUUCUGAAAAAAUUCAUCCAUGUAGUUUGAAAUAUUUAUUUAUUUUAACUAUAUAAUUUAAAAAUGUUUAAAAUUAUACAUAUUUUAUAUUUGAAAUAAUUUUGCGAUAUAAUAAAUGAAAAUAAAUGUUUAUGAUAAAUGUAAAUGAAUAUUAUCAUAAAAUAUGUCAUUAUAUAUAAAGUAAUAUAGAAUGAUUACGUAUAUAUAUUAUUAUAAUUUAAUACAUAAUUAAAAUCGUAAAAAAAAAUUCUGGAUAUUUUUCUACGUGAUAUUUUAAAAUUGUUUAAUUUUAUUUGUAUUAUAUAUAAUAUUUCAAAUCAUAUUUCAAUCCUAUUUUUUUACAUUCAAUAUAAAUAAUUCUUAAUUUAAAAAAAAAUUUUUUAACAUAUAUCUGCUAAGAUUAAAAUAAUUCAUAUUAUUUUUUUUUCUUAAAAAUACUAUCUCUAUAAUGAUUAUCUUAAUUUUUUUAUUAAAUAUCUUAAAAAAUUUAAUCGUAUUGAAUCAGAUUAAAAUUUCCAAUAAUUCAACAUAUCAGAUAAGAUACAAUCAAUUAUUACGUUUAAAAUAAUGUCAAGUAGAGUUCAAUUAUCAUCAAUGAUUCAAUCAAAUCUUCAAUUAUCUUUUACGUCAUUGGCCUCAUUAUCUAUGAUGUACAUUUCCACGACACGAUCUUACAAAUAAUAUAAUUACAUAUGUAUAUAUAUAAUCAUACUAAUCGUGUUUGUCAUUUGAUUGUAAUUAAUGAUAAAACUCAAUGAGAAAGGCUUGAAAGAAUGCUAUAAUCUCUAGGCGUUAAUGAAAAAGAAUACAAUGCAACCACAGUAACGAAGAAUUUCAUAGUUCAGUGGAUAUUCCAUAGUGGCAGAAGUGCAUUAACCAUUAACAUACUUUGCUAACAAACUUCUGAACUAUUUUACCGUGAAAUAACAUCUGUUCAGCCCUGUCACCGUUCUUGACACAAUCGUUUUUUCCUCUCAACAUCUGGACAGUGAUGUUGAGUGACCUCUCCUCUGAUCAUGGAAAAUACUUAUUUCCUUAAUUAACACUUUUUGCUCGAUAUCAAGCUUAAGGCGCGUUACCAUCGCAUGUGCCGAUGUCUAGUGCAGCAUGAAACUUCGAUAUGAAAUAAGAUGGCCAACACGCGAGGAGAGAAGACUUCAAUACAAAUAACGGUGUAAAGAAACGCUCUGGUACCCGCCUAAGUUAUUCGUUAUAUGCGUACCAUACAAGUUGUCCAUCGUACAGUCAGCCAGACGUAUAAUCGUAGUACAGGUCAUGGUUAUUUCUUAUGUUAGAGGUAGGUUACCCGGGCUUUUAAGAUUGGCUGAUUUUCAAGGUAAAAUUGAUAAGUUGAUAUCUCUUGAAGAACCUGUUUUAAAUUCUUUUAAUGUAUUUAACUGUUUAUUUGUUGAAAAGAAAUAUAUAUAUAUACUCUGUAAUAAUAUUGUUCAAUUUUUUAGAUUUGCAAUUUGCAUGAUAUUAAAAUCGUUUAUUUUCAGAGUGAAUCUGCUAUGAUGAAAAAAAUAUAAAAAAAAACUUAAUUUUAAUUUGUUAACAUUAAAUAUAUGAAUAUUACAACAUAUUAAAUAUUUGUAAAAUUAAAUAUUGGAAUAAUGUUGUAUUAAAAUAAAUUUUAAUUAUAGUACUUCGAAUCAAUAAAGUAAUAUAUUCAAUUGAAGAUUAAAAAAAAAACUUGAUAUUUCAUUUAAUUAAUCAUUUUAUUAGAUAGGAAAUAAAUUUUAGUUCGAUGUUAAAAAAAUCAUUUUGACGUAAAAUGUAUUGAAUUAUUCAAAUUAUUAUAUUAAAUUAUUCAAAUCAAUAUCAGAUUGCAUAUUUAAUGAUUAUAAGAGUUUCAUCUUCAUACAUUUGAUAUUUUUCAAAUAUUGAAAUAUCUUCUAUAAAUUAUAAGAUUAUUUUUCUCAUUAUUUUUUUAUAUGGAGCAUUAAAUAGAAUGGAGCAAAAUUAGAUAAUUAAAUCGAAAUACUUUAUAAAUAAAUUAUUUAUUAGUCAAGAUUUUGUAUAAAUAUCAAUAUAAAAUAAGCGAGUUUACGAUUGAGAAAUUAUAGGAUCUGUGAUAUUUUAAUUCAAAUAAAAUUGUAUAAUUAUUUUAAUAAAUGCAUUUAACUAAUUCGCGUUAUUAUGUCAAUUAUAUGAAUAAUAAUUAAUAUUAAUUAAUAUGAAUAUUAAUUAAGUAUCGUAUAAAAUUAUGAAUAAUUUAUAAAUAUCUUCGCUGUUGCUUUAAUUAGUAAUUAAGGCGUAAUAUUAGAUAAAUAAGAAAUAGAAAAAUAUUUUUUUUUAUUAAAAUACUAUUUCAAUAUUUGUAUUUCUGAUUUCUUUUAUUGAAUUUUUUUUAAAUUUAUAAAAUAAAGAUUGUACAGAUCUACAUACAUUUUGUAUUUAAUGAAUUUUUAAAUAAAAAAAUUUAAACUUAACAAGAAAA
Long non-coding RNA from Apis cerana (Asiatic honeybee), 3855 nucleotides. RefSeq lists it as uncharacterized. NCBI's taxonomy places the organism in Eukaryota, Metazoa, Arthropoda, Insecta, Hymenoptera, Apidae. The record is from RefSeq and is a predicted model, not a curated record.